Small nucleolar RNA from Osmerus eperlanus (European smelt), 129 nucleotides. RefSeq annotates it as small nucleolar RNA ACA64. The transcript has a single exon. The record is from RefSeq and is a predicted model, not a curated record. Lineage: Eukaryota; Metazoa; Chordata; Actinopteri; Osmeriformes; Osmeridae.
ACAGAUGAAAAUUGCCUCAGGUCUAUUAGUAGCCUGAGGUGAGAUAACUGUGCCUAAAGUAUACUGGUUCAUUAAGCUUAUUGCCUGUUAUUAUUGUGACAGAGCGAUAAAACCCUUGUUCCCACAUUU